GUGGGGAAUAUUGGACAAUGGGCGAAAGCCUGAUCCAGCCAUGCCGCGUGUGUGAAGAAGGUCUUCGGAUUGUAAAGCACUUUAAGUUGGGAGGAAGGGCAGUAAGUUAAUACCUUGCUGUUUUGGCGUUACCGACAGAAUAAGCACCGGCUAACUUCGUGCCAGCAGCCGCGGUAAUACGAAGGGUGCAAGCGUUAAUCGGAAUUACUGGGCGUAAAGCGCGCGUAGGUGGUUCAGCAAGUUGGAGGUGAAAUCCCCGGGCUCAACCUGGGAACUGCCUCCAAAACUACUGAGCUAGAGUACGGUAGAGGGUAGUGGAAUUUCCUGUGUAGCGGUGAAAUGCGUAGAUAUAGGAAGGAACACCAGUGGCGAAGGCGACUACCUGGACUGAUACUGACACUGAGGUGCGAAAGCGUGGGGAGCAAACAGGAUUAGAAACCCGAGUAGUCC
RNAcentral lists this ribosomal RNA (450 nucleotides) under uncultured bacterium. RNAcentral describes it as "partial 16S ribosomal RNA". It matches the Rfam family "Bacterial small subunit ribosomal RNA", at positions 354 to 796 of the family's 1533-position model. The record is from RNAcentral.